CUUUGGAUUGUCAACGUGCGUAAUACAUGCAGUCGAACGAAACUUUCUUACACCGAAUGCUUGCAUUCACCGUAAGAAGUUGAGUGGCGGACGGGUGAGUAACACGUGGGUAACCUGCCUAAAAGAAGGGGAUAACACUUGGAAACAGGUGCUAAUACCGUAUAUCUCUAAGGAUCGCAUGAUCCUUAGAUGAAAGAUGGUUCUGCUAUCGCUUUUAGAUGGACCCGCGGCGUAUUAACUAGUUGGUGGGGUAACGGCCUACCAAGGUGAUGAUACGUAGCCGAACUGAGAGGUUGAUCGGCCACAUUGGGACUGAGACACGGCCCAAACUCCUACGGGAGGCAGCAGUAGGGAAUCUUCCACAAUGGACGCAAGUCUGAUGGAGCAACGCCGCGUGAGUGAAGAAGGUCUUCGGAUCGUAAAACUCUGUUGUUAGAGAAGAACACGAGUGAGAGUAACUGUUCAUUCGAUGACGGUAUCUAACCAGCAAGUCACGGCUAACUACGUGCCAGCAGCCGCGGUAAUACGUAGGUGGCAAGCGUUGUCCGGAUUUAUUGGGCGUAAAGGGAACGCAGGCGGUCUUUUAAGUCUGAUGUGAAAGCCUUCGGCUUAACCGGAGUAGUGCAUUGGAAACUGGAAGACUUGAGUGCAGAAGAGGAGAGUGGAACUCCAUGUGUAGCGGUGAAAUGCGUAGAUAUAUGGAAGAACACCAGUGGCGAAAGCGGCUCUCUGGUCUGUAACUGACGCUGAGGUUCGAAAGCGUGGGUAGCAAACAGGAUUAGAUACCCUGGUAGUCCACGCCGUAAACGAUGAAUGCUAGGUGUUGGAGGGUUUCCGCCCUUCAGUGCCGCAGCUAACGCAAUAAGCAUUCCGCCUGGGGAGUACGACCGCAAGGUUGAAACUCAAAGGAAUUGACGGGGGCCCGCACAAGCGGUGGAGCAUGUGGUUUAAUUCGAAGCAACGCGAAGAACCUUACCAGGUCUUGACAUCCUUUGACCACCUAAGAGAUUAGGUUUUCCCUUCGGGGACAAAGUGACAGGUGGUGCAUGGCUGUCGUCAGCUCGUGUCCUGAGAUGUUGGGUUAAGUCCCGCAACGAGCGCAACCCUUGUUGUCAGUUGCCAGCAUUAAGUGAGCACUCUGGCGAGACUGCCGUGAAAAACCGGAGGAAGUGGGGACAACGUUAGUGCUCAAGCCCCUUUGAACUGGGCUACAACAGUGCCCGGAUGGGGGGGCCACAAACCCCAAAACCGGGGGGUGCCCAGUUCUUUAAAAUUUUAAUUCAAUUCUCUCCAACUCCCAAUU
Molecule: ribosomal RNA, 1303 nt
Filed under: Ligilactobacillus salivarius
Lineage: Bacteria; Bacillati; Bacillota; Bacilli; Lactobacillales; Lactobacillaceae
Description: bacterial SSU rRNA
Rfam family: Bacterial small subunit ribosomal RNA
Source: RNAcentral